RNAcentral lists this ribosomal RNA (460 nucleotides) under NC10 bacterium enrichment culture. RNAcentral's name for it is "bacterial SSU rRNA". It matches the Rfam family "Bacterial small subunit ribosomal RNA", at positions 977 to 1434 of the family's 1533-position model. The record is from RNAcentral. Lineage: Bacteria; Methylomirabilota (SeqCode).
GGGCUUGACAUCCCACGAACCUGUCCGAAAAGGUGGGGUGCCCGCAAGGGAGCGUGGAGACAGGUGGUGCAUGGCUGUCGUCAGCUCGUGUCGUGAGAUGUUGGGUUAAGUCCCGCAACGAGCGCAACCCUCACCCCUAGUUGCCACCGGGUUAAGCCGAGCACUCAAGGGGAACUGCCAGCGUCAAGCUGGAGGAAGGCGGGGAUGACGUCAAGUCAUCAUGCCCCUUACGCCCUGGGCUACACACGUGCUACAAUGGCCAGUACAAAGGGACGCGAGACUGCGAAGUGGAGCUAAUCCCAAAAAGCUGGUCUAAGUUCAGAUUGCAGUCUGCAACUCGACUGCAUGAAGGAGGAAUCGCUAGUAAUCGCGUAUCAGCCCGGCGCGGUGAAUACGUUCCCGGGCCUUGUACACACCGCCCGUCACACCACGAAAGCUGUCUGUACUCGAAGUCGCUGAG